RNAcentral lists this transfer RNA (76 nucleotides) under Myotis davidii. It matches the Rfam family "tRNA". Rfam says of the family: Transfer RNA (tRNA) molecules are approximately 80 nucleotides in length. Their secondary structure includes four short double-helical elements and three loops (D, anti-codon, and T loops). Lineage: Eukaryota; Metazoa; Chordata; Mammalia; Chiroptera; Vespertilionidae. The record is from Rfam by way of RNAcentral.
GCUGGCAUGGCUCAAUGGUUGAGCAUCUGUCUGUGAACCAGUCAUCAAGGUUUGGGCUCAAUCCCCAAGGCCGGGG